UGGUUGUGGCUCAGGGGUAGAAUGUUCGCCUAGCACAUCGGAAGCCCUGGGUUCGAGCCUCAGCACCAA
RNAcentral lists this transfer RNA (69 nucleotides) under Marmota monax (woodchuck). Its description in RNAcentral is "tRNA.Ala". The record is from RNAcentral. Lineage: Eukaryota; Metazoa; Chordata; Mammalia; Rodentia; Sciuridae.